GAGGGUAUAGCUCAGUGGUAGAGUGUAUACUUAGCAUGCCCGAGAUGCUGGGUUCAAUCCCCAGUACCUCA
RNAcentral lists this transfer RNA (71 nucleotides) under Camelus bactrianus (Bactrian camel). It matches the Rfam family "tRNA". From Rfam's summary of the family: Transfer RNA (tRNA) molecules are approximately 80 nucleotides in length. Their secondary structure includes four short double-helical elements and three loops (D, anti-codon, and T loops). Lineage: Eukaryota; Metazoa; Chordata; Mammalia; Artiodactyla; Camelidae. The record is from Rfam by way of RNAcentral. RNAcentral also lists the same sequence under 2 other names.